Molecule: transfer RNA, 68 nt
Filed under: Urocitellus parryii (Arctic ground squirrel)
Lineage: Eukaryota; Metazoa; Chordata; Mammalia; Rodentia; Sciuridae
Also listed under: 2 other names
Description: Spermophilus parryii (Arctic ground squirrel) tRNA
Rfam family: tRNA
About the family: Transfer RNA (tRNA) molecules are approximately 80 nucleotides in length.
Source: Rfam by way of RNAcentral
GGGGUUGUAGCUCAGUGGUGGAGUGCUUGUCUAGCACAUGUUACUGAGUUCAAUCCUCAGCACCACCU